This is a non-coding RNA of Alternaria sp. BMP 2799, 91 nucleotides long. Lineage: Eukaryota; Fungi; Ascomycota; Dothideomycetes; Pleosporales; Pleosporaceae. The record is from the annotation of a GenBank genome assembly.
GACACUGUGCCAGAGUGGUUUAAUGGGUGUGACUCGAAUUCACAGAUAUCACAUGGCUUCGGCCGCGCAGGUUCGAGUCCUGUCAGUGUCG